This 253-nucleotide ribosomal RNA is filed under the name uncultured bacterium. RNAcentral's name for it is "partial 16S ribosomal RNA". It matches the Rfam family "Bacterial small subunit ribosomal RNA", at positions 524 to 776 of the family's 1533-position model. The record is from RNAcentral.
UACGGAGGGUGCAAGCGUUAUCCGGAUUCACUGGGUUUAAAGGGCGCGUAGGCGGUCACGCACGUCCGUUGUGAAAUCGCUCGGCUCAACUGGGCGGGGUCAGCGGAUACGGCGUGGCUGGAGCAAGCUAGGGGGCAAUGGAAUUCCCGGUGUAGUGGUGGAAUGCGUAGAUAUCGGGAGGAACACCAGUGGCGAAGGCGGUUGCCUGGAGCUUUGCUGACGCUGAUGCGCGAAAGCUGGGGGAGCAAACGGG